CCCUGGUCCCACCCUGAGGAAAGCAGGGUGCUAGGUCGGGGUCCCCGGUGGGCAGGCGUGGGUUCUGGCACCUGUGUGAGGAGCCCCCACCCACUGAGCCACUGGAGGGAGCCUGAGGACAGGAUUGGCGGUUGGGGUGUGGCCAGGAGAGGCUGCCCCUGCCAGCCACCCAACCCGGAGAACAGGUUCCUCCACCUGGUGGGCAGGCGGCGAGGUGAUAGUGGCAGAGGCCAGGAGCGGUGCCCUGGCUGCUGUGGAUGGAACCCGGAGGCCCUGCAAGGCCUGCGAUGGGCAACAGGCCCUGGUGUCACCCCUGCAGGGCACACUGUGGGGGCACAGGGCCCUCUGGAAGUAUCCUGCCUCCUGCUGACCCCAGGCUACCCCACUGCUAACUGGGCUGCCAUGGCCCUCUCCAGCAUGGGUCUUCCGCUGGCCGGGCCCCUCAGCCAUGCUGCUCCACCUGAGGACCCAGGUCCGGCUCCAGACUGCAGAUGGCUGUUCCUGAGCGCCAACGUUCUGCCCGUGGGUGAGUGAGGCUG
This 539-nucleotide long non-coding RNA is filed under the name Fukomys damarensis (Damara mole-rat). RNAcentral describes it as "lncRNA (ENSFDAG00000031385.1)". Lineage: Eukaryota; Metazoa; Chordata; Mammalia; Rodentia; Bathyergidae. The record is from RNAcentral.